This 531-nucleotide ribosomal RNA is filed under the name uncultured low G+C Gram-positive bacterium. RNAcentral describes it as "bacterial SSU rRNA". It matches the Rfam family "Bacterial small subunit ribosomal RNA", at positions 189 to 708 of the family's 1533-position model. Lineage: Bacteria; Bacillati; Bacillota. The record is from RNAcentral.
AUGGCAAGAUGUUGAAAGGCGGCUUCGGCUGUNNCUACGAGAUGGGCCCGCGGCGUAUUAGCUAGUUGGUAGGGUAAUGGCCUACCAAGGCGACGAUACGUAGCCGACCUGAGAGGGUGAUCGGCCACACUGGGACUGAGACACGGCCCAGACUCCUACGGGAGGCAGCAGUAGGGAAUCUUCCGCAAUGGACGCAAGUCUGACGGAGCAACGCCGCGUGAGUGACGAAGGUUUUCGGAUCGUAAAACUCUGUUGUGAGGGAAGAACACGUACCAGCUAACUACUGGUACCUUGACGGUACCUCACCAGAAAGCCACGGCUAACUACGUGCCAGCAGCCGCGGUAAUACGUAGGUGGCAAGCGUUGUCCGGAAUUAUUGGGCGUAAAGCGCGCGCAGGCGGUCCUUUAAGUCUGAUGUGAAAGCCCACGGCUCAACCGUGGAGGGUCAUUGGAAACUGGAGGACUUGAGUGCAGAAGAGGAAAGUGGAAUUCCAUGUGUAGCGGUGAAAUGCGUAGAGAUGUGGAGGAAUC